AAGGUUUUUCUAAAUCUUAUAUAAAUGCUAUAUAGUUUUAGAUUAGUUAGAUAAAAUUUUAUUUUAUAAUCUGGAUGGAGAUAUGGCAACAAAUGGAGAUGAAAUGGAUAUUACUUCAAGACUUGAAGAUCACGAAGGCUAUACCUUUUGACCAUCUAGUUAUCUUCGAUGGCUCGAGAUAACCAGUUUAGAAAGUCCAUAAUCAUCUAUAGUAGUUUGAUAUGCUUAGCUUAUAUUAUAUAUGUGAUGUAUGAUAUAUGCAUGAUCAUGCCAAAGCAUAAAACCCAUACAUCCGAUAUUUGUAUGUUCAUGCCAAAGCAUGAGAUCUUAAUCACUACUUUUUAACAAAUCCCUCAUUCAAUAUUAAGUCAUAUAUUCAGAACAUGAUUAAGUUGCCUUCCAUAAUUAAAAUAGGAAUAAGAGCCUUUUUUAUAGCCCACUAGGAUAGCUAAAUUGUUAGCAUCCCAAAUUGAUAAUGAUGGCUAUUAAUUUGUAUCAAAAAAUAGUGGGAGUUAAACAACAGGUUGCAAGACCUUUACUAGUUACUUGUAUAAAUUAACUUAUAUUGGUUUAUCUUUAUAUUGGAAGGUUGUAAAGAAAGAUGAGUGGCAAUCUAUUUUUGCGUAGUAUCCUUGAUACCAACAAGCUUACUAAGCUGAACUUUCUUGAUUGGCAUAAGAAUGUGAGAACUAUUCUUAAAUAAGAAAAGAAGUUUUAUAUGCUAGGCACACACCUCUAUUGUGUCUCCAUGCAGAAGAUGCACCCAAGGAGGUGUUCCAAGAGUACAAAAAGAGUUAAGAAGAUGAUGACCAAGUUGCUUGUGUAAUGUUAGGGAGUAUGACCUACAAACUACAAAGAUAACAUGAAAAUAUGGAUGCUCAAACUAUCAUCUUAUAUUUCAAAAAAAUGUUUGAUAAGUAGUCAAUGAUUGAAAGGUAUGAGACCUCAAAGGAAUUGUUCUGAUGCAAGAUGGCCGAAGGUGCAUCUUUGAAUGCACAUGGAUUAAAGAUGCUUGGAUAUAUUGAAUAUCUAGGGCGUCUUGGUUUGUGAUGUACCAUGAAGUAAGUAUAGAAUUAAUUUUACAAUCUCCACCUAAUAGUUAUUCAGAAUUCGUUAUGAAAUUUCAUAUCAAUAAUUUGGAUAUUAUGAUACCUGAACUUAUUAAUAUGUUAAAGAAUACGGAGGGCACCAUAAAGCAAAAGGGAGUAGUUCUAAUGGUAGAACAUUCUAAGACUGCUAAGAGUAAAUCUAAGAAGAGAAAGGUAAAGAAAACCCAUAAGCCCAAGAAAGCCUUAAAGGCUAUUAGAGGUGUUAGCAAGAAUAAAGGAAAGUGUCACCAUUGUGGGAAGGACAUUAGAGAAGGAACUGCAAGGCUUAUCUCACUGCUUUGAAUGAUAAGAAGCAAAAACAAGCUUCUAAUUCUACAAAGAAGGAAUAGCUUAAAGGCAAUUUUUGCCAUUUGGUUUAGUUAUUAGCUUUGUUUUUCUUAUUUAGAAUUUAAUAAUUAUUAUUAAUUCUUCUUCUAAAAUAAUUUUUAAUUAUAAUUUUAUUUAAUAAUAUUUGGCAAUUAUUGCAUUAUUUAGUUAAAUGAUUUAUGUUUCUAGAAUAUCAUACAAAAGGUUGUACGAAAGUAAGGAAAACAUAACCCUAUUGCGAGAGAACUAAAGCAAUCCUAAAUAGGCAUAAGGAUUAAAUUAUUGAUGUUAAGAUAAAUAAGUAACAUAAAUAAGUUGUGUAACUUAUAAAAUCUUAUAAAAUUAAUAUUAUAAUCAAGUUGUCUUUGAGAAAGAUUUAUGAUAAAGUAUCAUAUCAAGAUCAGAUCAUGAUAUGGAAUACUUGGAUCAUCAUUAGAAUAUCUAUAACUUGCAAUUACCCAAAUUGAUAAAGUUUCAUAAGAUGAUGAAACCUAACUUUGUAAGACAUAGUUAUAUCAAUAAAGAGUGUUGUAAGCCUUCUCAUAUGAUAUAUACUCUUAUAACCUUUAACUCAAAUAUGUUCUAUUUAUGAUAUGAUCGUAAUAAAGUCUAUAUAGGAUAUAGACUAGUAUGUGAUGUUUAAGAGAAACAUACACAAUUAGACAAAGCUGAAAGGCUUGAUCUAAUAAAAGUAAGUUUGUGAGAUAUCCAAAAAGGGUGUUAGGAUAUCAACAAUAUCAUACUCUUGAAACAAAAGUGUUCGUUUGGAAUAUGUUUUCUUUUAAGAAAAUGAGUUUUCUGAAAAAAGCAGUGGGAGUUUGAUAGAUCUUGAUAGAGAUCAAGAUAAACAAACUAGCAUUAAAAUAGAACAUAGCUUGAAGGUGUUUAGCAUAAGAUGCACAACCUUAAGCUAUUCAUAUACACAACUUUUGGUAUGUAGUAGGAUACAACAUAUUUAUAAGAAAUGAAGAUCUUUUAUGGAAUAUGUAAUUAUAACUCUACUACACUAAGAACUAAUGUGUGACAUUAACUCUUAAAGUUGGUAUCAGACCAUAAGAUUCUAUUGUAAAUACACAUAUUUUUUAACCAAGUGAAGACUAUAAUGGACCCAUCUAAAUGGAUUAGAUCCAUUAAGGUGCAAGUGAGUUUUUUAAGCAAGAUUAAUAUGGAAGUCUUUGCAUAAAGGUUGAGCAAAGAAAACUUAAUAAGUUACAUACUUAAUCAAAGGGUUGAUUAGUAAUAUAACUAUAAGUAUCAAUCCAAAUAGAAUAAAAAAGUGUAUAUGAAGGGGUUAGUAGGAGUAUAAUAAUAUUUCCUAAUAUCAUAUAUGGUGGACAUAUAGAUAAAGGGAAAAGUAACAAAGCUUUAUCAUGAGUCUACCAAGACUAAUAAAUCCUUAAAGAGUUAGAACAUACAGUUUACUUUCUAGGAUUGAGAUAUGUGGAGAUAGAUGUUUCAAACUACACGAAUGUUCUAAAUUUCGAGUACAUAUAUAUAUAUAUAUAUAUAUAUAUAUAUAUAUAUAUAUAUAUAUAUAGAUGUGUGUGUAUGUGUGUGUGUGUGUGUGUGUUAAAGGAGUUUAACAUGGAAAAAUCAGAGAAAGAUUCUUGGUGAUGUCUCAUGACAUAUCUCUUUCCAAAGAUAUGUGCCAUAAACACUCAUUAAGAAAGACGUUAUUAAUAGAAUGAUUUAUGCAAAAGCAUAAUAUUUUAUUAUAUAUAUAUGUCAUGUUAUGUACUAGACUUUAUGGUUAUUCUAGAUGUGGAUUGUGAAUCACAUAGAAUAAAUUCACAAGAUAGAUUCAAUUUUGUAAAGAUUUCCAAAAGGAUCAUUCUUAUGACUUGAGCUUAAUACAUCUUAUUAUAUUUGAGGCAAUAUAUGAGAGAUAUUUAGAUCUUAAUAUUAUUUUUCAAGAAUAAGGUGUGGUUCUUAAAUAUUAUUGAUAUAAAGAGUUAGAUAGACAAUAAAGCUAUUUUUAAAUUACUAAGGUCUCAUAUGUGAUACAAACUAUUGUAUUAAAGCAUUACCAAUAAAUGAUUUAUUAGUAGAAUAUAAAGAUAAAAUAAAUAUGCAUUAAGGAUAAAAAAAGUUGAUCCUCCAACAAAGCCGUUUGACCUAGUAAGAACAUGAUCAUCAUAAGAUAGAGUUCAGUAUUGGAUACUAUGAUGAUUGGCUUUGACUGUGCUUUACUGCAAGUGGGAGAUUGUUAGAGUAUGUUCUAAAGAGAAAGAGUUGUCAAAUGAUUACGUUUUAAUUUAUACAUCACAAUUGAUGGCAUAAAAGUAUACUAAAGGCAUUGUUCGACUCUAAUGGUAUGAGUAAUUGGAUAUUGUUAAGGAAUAAUCCAAACUGUUAAAGAUGAAUACCAUGGAAUGUAAGCACAAAUGUAAGAGAAAUUAUAAAGCGAGUUUAUAAUGAUGAGGUUCUCAUUACAUACAUUCCUAAACUUUGUUCAUAGUCGAUGUUUGAUAAAGAAUUAGAUAUUGAUCAAUCGCUCGAGACUACUAUAAUGUAUUAUCACUUACUUGUGAAGUAAGCAAUAUGUCUUAUAAGGUUGAGGAAUAGGGAUUUCGAGAUAAGCAUAUGGGUGCUUGUUAUAAGAACAAGUUCAUUGAACAUGACCCUACUGAGUAGUCCAUAUGGAAUUUACCCCAAGUGUCUAUGGGCAAUACUCGUAUUACAAUGAUGAAAGACGUUAUCCUAUCCAUAGAGCAUUCAAGAGAUAGUCAUUAGGUAUAGUAAGAGGCAUAUGAAGAUAAUAAGUUAUCAAUAAAUAAUUCAUUGCCCAAGGUAAUAUGUCAUGGGACCUUAUCCUAAUGAUUCUUGAUAUGUUUUAACAUGAAAAUCCUUGGCCAAGGCAUUUGAAUGAAGAUUAUAAAAAGUGUUUCAUAGAUCUUAUUCAAGAUGUUAUAUGCAAUUAUCAAGAACAAAUAUGAUUGAAUCAAUUAUAGAGUUGACACUUGCAUCUAUAUACGAUGAAUCAAUUGGGAUAAAAGUACAAUGAAAGGACUGAAUUACAUUAUGAGAUUAUUCACUGUAAAGAUUGAUUAAAGCACUUUAAUCCUUGCUCAUAUUUGGAUAGUCAUGAUGCAUUGCUAGAUGCCAAUCUUAAUCUAUGAAAUAUGAAUUAAGUUAAUUAGAGAAUAAACAUUGAAUUAAAAGGGUUUAAUUCAUAAUUUAUAAUUCAUUGCCAACAUGUUAGGAACCUUUUGGGUCACAUAUAAACAGGCUUAAAGUUGAGAUUAAAAUGAGGCUUAAGAUUGGGCUUAAGCUUAUAUGCGUUGGGCCUAAUUAAAACUUAAUUAGUUUAAUACAUAUUGGGCUAUGAUACUCGAUUAUAAGGGCUCUAUAACUAUGCUUAUGUAUUACUUAAGUUAACUUAGUCUAAACAAGCCAAAUUAAAGCCCAACUUAAGAGUAAGUAAAGCCUUACUUGUUACAAGACUAGGUUAAAUCCCAUGUAUAUAUAUAUGUGGAGUAUGAUAGGCGGGUAGCUAUGUGCAUGUAUAAAGGAGAGUGAUGCCAUCAACACUUAAUUAAUUAGAUUAAUUAAGAUUCAACCUAGCUUGGAACUAGCAUUCACUCUUCAUCAUCUGCACUUUCUCUCUUGUGAAGGAUUGUUCAUAGGAGAUUCCAACUUUGAAGCUUGUGUAGAUUACCAUUAGAGGCUAUUUAUUUAGUAGCUUUAAAGUGCAUCAAUCAUCCUUGAAGAAUCAAGAAUCAACAAAGCAAGAAGCAUUCCUUGGAAUAGGCGGCACACACUCUUUGUAAGCCUUCUCCAUCUUUUGCUUAUUUUUGUGUGUUAUGACUAUCUAAAUUAAUAAGAACCUUAGUGGGAAUUAAGAAAAUUUUUAAAUUGCUUCCCUUGUGCCUUUCCUUAUGUUUUAAUUUCAAUUCCCAACAAAAAAUGCAUUUCCUUUGCCCGAUUCUCAUGUUGACUUUUAUUAAGGCCUCUAGGGUCAUUUGCAUGUGCAGGUGUUAAUCUCCAAUUUCCUUAACUCCUUUCUAGUUCUAUUCUCCUCCCCCUUUUCUAUGUGUGUUUAUUUGCUACUUAGGAUAUCACCUUACAUGUGAAUAAAUGAAUAAAAUUAGACUUAGCAGUUGUUUUGAUCACCCCAUAUGCAAAGAUAAUAAAAUUGAAAGCUUAUCAAAGUAAGCCCCCGCGCUUCGCAUGUAUUAACUUCAAAUGCUAAGGCUAAAAUAAAUCUAAUACUUGGAAUAUGGUUAAUAAAAAUUGCGAAUGAUGUGAACACCAUGGAAUGUCAAGAUAAGACCUAAGGCACCAAAGCGCCUCUUAAUUAGGACUAGCAAGGGUACCAAUAUGCCUCCCAUCUAGAACUAGUUAAGGUACCAAAGUACCUCCCCCUUAGGCUAGUCUUUUGGUUCUUCAGCUCACUUGCUAAUAAGAUAAAAAGAAAGGUUGGUGUGCAAAAGAAUAUAGGGUAAAGAUUAGGCUAAGACAAUGUUAUUAGGAUUGUCAAAGGCUCGUCUCCUCUAGUGGAGGCUAGGCUUCACCGCCUAGGCAGAUAGGGGUGCUUUUGCAAACCUUCUCUAUUUGUACCUAACUUUCGAAACCUAGAAUCUCUGAUUUUAGAGAAGGGGAAACUUAAGCUCUCUACGAGGGGUACAAAGUCAUCAACCUCACUCCCGAAUUUGUCCUCAUCUCAUCGGGCGGUGACUCCUUCUUUGAUCAGUCUUAAGGCCAUUCGUAAUCCCUUAGGGCCCUGAACCAAACGACUCAUUUUGAAACGAUCCUAGUAUAGAGAGUGGACCCUAGACCUGUAGUGAUCUUGGUCCCUCACAACUGGGCAUAGAGUUCUAAUGGUUUAGAGACAGAGAAGGAGAUGAUGACGUAUAUCAGAGAUCUAAAAGUCAUAGUAAUGACAAGAAGCAUAAAUCUAGAGAUAACUCAAGCAUACAAGGAUUGAACAGUUUUACCUAGAGCUAUGCUGAUACUUGUGCAAUGAUAGUUGUGCUUUCCUAUAAUUUCAUGUAGACAGCAAGCAAAUCUUUUUUCUCAUGCCUUGACUUUUGCCUAAGCCAUUUUUUCAAGUUUUCAACUUAGCAAGCUUUUCUCUUUUUAUUUAUUUCUUCUCUCUUUUAUUUUUGUCUUUUUUGUCUUUGUCUUAAUUUUUGCAUAAGCUGUCUUUACAGGUUGUUAACUUAGCAGUUUUUUUUUCUUUAUUUCUUUUUCCUUUUUACUGAUUAAGCAAGAAAUAUGAGCUGAAGUACUUGGAGUCCUUUCUGUCAAGCUUACAGAUGAUUCUACUAAUUCUCAAGAUUUUCCUGAUAUGAGAUUUUUUGGAUGAAAGUUUGAGAGGCUCUAUCCCUGCUGACUCAUUGAGUAUGAUGUUAAUUGAUGGAGACUUAAUUGUUACAAAUUCUUGGAUUCUUUUUGUAAGAAAUGCAAGAACAAAAGAGCUAAAGAAAAUCAUCUUGCUUCUAUUUAGAUAUCAUAUAUUUUACUUCUUAUUUUAUUUUUCCUUCUACUAUUGCAUAAGCAAUGAAGAAUUUUGUGCAAAUUUAACAAAUAUUUUAAUCAAAUUUUAUUCAUUUAAUAAGAGCACAAACAUGUAUAUUUUUUAUUUCACAUAACAUCCCUCUUGUUAUCAACUAGUCCAUUUGGAUUUUCUAGUUGUUUAUUUUCUCUUCACCUUAUUUUCUGAACUUUUGCAUGACUAAUCUAUGUAGGUCUUUUAAUAAGCAGGAUUUAUUUUUCUCUCUUUUUUCUUUUUUUUGUCCUUUUCUUUUCUUUAAAGAUAGUGUCUCAAAUGGUCCAAAUUCACUUAUGAACUUAUUGCCCCUGAGAUUUGAACUCCUUCCAGCAUAUUGAAGCAUAAUCUUUUCUUUCUUUAAUAUGAAAGUUUUCAACUUGAUCUAGAUUUCUUUUGGAAUCAAAUGCAAUGGGCCUUGCAUAUUUCAAGAAUAGAGCAUCAAUCUUUAAUCUCUUAUAUCUUUAGAGGUUCUUGCUUUAAAGUUGUUAUUAAUGUGAUGAGAAAUGAACUCGACCCUUUUAGUUUGCAAAUAGUUAUGGUGAAUAAUGUUAUUACCUUGAAUUCAAUCUUGCGUAUUAAAUAUUAUACCAUUUUUUAUUUUUUUUCUUCUCUCUCUUUCUUUUUUAUUCUACUUCUUUCACUUUUCUCUCUUCAAGAGUUAUAAUGUGCAAUAGAAUUAUUUCUAAGAUUAUUAUUUGUGCUGAGAUUAAAUAAACUAAUUCAAAUAAGAUUGAUGUCAAAUAUGCUCAUGAAAUAAUCAUCAUAAUGCACACUACUAUUAGGAAAAACAUGAUUAGAUAAGCAAAAUCAAAGUUAUAUCAUAAUCCUAAAAGCAAGAUCAUAUCAUUGACUUAAAAUAAAUCAACAUCUGAAUUUUACGAAGCUUCAUCAUCUUUAGAUGGUAGGUUUUCAAUCUCUCUAACUUUGAUAAUUUCGUAUUUUCUUUUCAACUAUAGUCUUUUCAAUUUUCUCUACUUGUAAGCCAUCAUCGUACAAGCCCACGAAAGUCCUUUCAUCAUUUGUAAUCGUUCAACCCAAGAUGGGAGAAUAUUUCAGAUUAUCAUAAGAACUUGAUCUUGCUUUCCCUGAGGUAAAGAUUAAUAGAGGCUAUUCUACUAGAUGUAUUGAAAAUUAUAUUACCCUAGUCUGCCCUAACUCGUGACCUAGACCUUGCUCUAGUUAUAUUGACUAUAAUUAUAUUAUAUCCAGGUAAAGAAUAUGAAAAAUUAUCAUUAGAUCUGGCCGAGUAAAGAAAUCUAUAUAGAUCCCUCCCAGGGAAGGAAUUAGCUCUAUCGUUGAAUCUAAAAUCUUAUCGUUAGCCCUAAGGAAAAGACCUCUAUUUUAUCUUAGCAUGCUUACUUAAAACAAGCAGUCUUGCAAUACGAAAUACAAUGAUGCGUACGUCUUUCGGCACCCUAUUUACCAGUGGGCAAAAAAGGGUCAAUGGAAAGAAAAAGAUAAAGAACCAUAAACGUAUCAUUAAACAAUGAAAUUGAUUUUUUAUCAUAUCACUGAAAGUUGAAUUUCUCUUUCGCUCCUUCGCGGAGCGGCAUACCGGAAAAAAGAAAGGGUACCAAUGAAGCCGACCAUUAAUGACUAGUUCGAACACCAGGAGCGGUCUGAUCCCUUAUUUGAGUUCGUUUUCGGCUCCUUCCACUACGCUUGCUUAACACUUAGCAAAAACGAUGAAAAAGAUGGAAAAAAGAACUGAAGACACAACCGAACUGACUUUUCGAAGAACAACCAAGAAAACUUCGUUAAAUUUGCCUGUGUUAAGCAUAAGGCUUUUUUAGAAUGAUUGGACCCGAAAUGAAGAAAGAAAAAGAUCCCAUUUCUAGUCAUAAAGUCUCGCCUACGAUCUAAGGUUUUUUCUCUUUUCUAGACUUUCUUCUCUUAUGAGAUUUCUUGUUUAAUUGAGUUUCUUCUUUCUCUGUCUCAUCAUUCGGGCAACUACUGCGAAUGCAUCUUCGCAGAUGAAAGAAUUAUCGGCAUGGGCGAAACCUAAAGUGGAGAUUUAAUUUAUUGAAAAGCCUCCGUCUUCGAAUUCUUUAUCACGUAAAAGUAAAAGAAGUAACUAAUCCAGGAGCCAGCACUUACCUGGGCGACCCCGUAUCCAUAUUUUCUUGCGGCGUGGACCUCUGACAAUUUCCUUACCACCCACAUCUGGUAAUCCUGAACAUCGCUGUGAAUUGAAUGGGUUUUCCCCUGCGAGUUAUUAAAAUACCCUUUUUAGAAUCCUUUUUAAUUAAGCGAGUGCUACUUACAUGGAGUGGGAUAGGAGCGAAUAGAGUGCUAGACAGUUUUCAAGCUUUUAUUUAAAGUCCCUGAAGUUUCAUUCCCCUUGGUUAGCAGUCCCUUGAGGUUCCUUUACAAUUACAAUCCAAGUGCAAGCUAUCCAGCAUCCAAUCUAAUGGGAAGUGAACAAGCUUUAAAGCGGGUAAGCAGGAGGGACUAAUUCCCAAGGAGCGAGUAAGAUUAUAAUUGGCUUCUUUCCUCUAUACCUAAUAGGCUAGGUUUGGAACCCUAUAUGCCCUUACAUGGAGUUUGAUUCCUUCUUUGAAAAAGGAUACCCGAACUUCCUCCCCGACAUUACCAGAAAUGGAUAAUCGUAGUAGUAUACCUACUCGUAGAGGCACCUUCCGGACCAAGGCAAUAGCAAACUCGCCCCACAAAGUGGUCCAAUUCUUGUGUUUAAUGUGAAGCUUGGCUUAGGCAAAGCAACCGGGAAACCAAUCCAAGAAGAGCAAUCCGGAUGAGUGCCAAAAAGGGUAAAGAGUAACCUCAUCGAUCGACCCAAUUCCUGCGUAUGUUGGUCUAGCUGUCGUGUCACCUUUAGUAAGUGAGAAAAUGCUUUUCUUACUGGAAUUCUCUUCCUUCUCGCCCUAUCCCGUUCGUGAGGUUUUCCCGACUGGCAAUAUGAAAAUGUUUUUCGUCGGUCAAUAUCUGUAAUCAAAUAAUUGGUUGCAUGUGCUGUUUGAUACUCAUUGGUAAAGGAAGAAGUCGUACCAGACAAGUUCAAUCAGUAAUGGCUGCGAGGCACCGAGUCUGAAUAGGCAUCAACAAGCACAUAGAUGUCCGAGGAAGCAAAGGCUAGGGCAGUUGAGUUGGCGGAGAGGUAGAAUUUCACUUCCUAUGCCGAUUUCUAAGCGGAGAAUCAAGCGAAAAGGUCUGUAGUGGUCUCCCUCUGGUCAAAAACGACUUGUCCAAGCAAAUUGAAAGUUGAUUCGAAUGAUGUGAGGGAAGGACCAACCGGAUACAAUAGGAAACUAAGGCAUCUAAAAAGCAACCGGCAAAGCCCCUUCUAAAGUUGUUUGUGGGCUUGACAAGUCCAAUUCUUAUAAUUUCUGAGAUGCUUGCUAGCCGCUAGUCAUAGGCAGAUCUCCUUUCAAGGUAAGUUUCUGGUUGAUCCUACUAAUGAUCAUGCGAUGAGGCAUUUGUUCAACUCAACUCAUUUGUGAAAUCCUACUUUCGAUGAGGCUAAGACAGGCCAAAGAUCAACAGAACGGGAUCUUUCUUUUCCAAGUAGGUUUUCGAUCUUUCGAACGAGAACUCAUCGUGAUGGGUAGGUGUAUCACACCGGCAAGCUCGCCCGCCUCUGUUUAGUCUUUCUUGGAUGAACAAAAUACAUUCCCUUGUCGGUUAACGCAGACUUGGAUACCUAUUCUGAUGCGGAGGGAUCGCUCGCUUCGUCCGACCCAUCAUGCAAAGCAACUUCCUUCUGGUCUUUACUUCGAUGAUGACACGAUCUUUAUUAUCCAAUGCUUUGGUGACACAAUCUGUGCGAACUGGUGCCAUGUUCCUUUUGUGCUUUGCAUUCUCAUCUGUCAUCUCGACUUCACUUCUUUAACAACUAACAUUCACGAUUCACCUCGCUCAGUGGUUGGAUCAAGGGCGGUGGGAGCGAGUGGAGUAUGCGAAGCGAGCACUAAGGUUGGUUUGUAGAUCUCCCGGGAAGAGCGAACUUCAAAUCCAUUCCCCUAUAUAUCCUCUUUUGAGACCAAUCAAUAUAGAUUCUCGAAAACCUAACCGGUCAUCAAUGAGGGAAAAGAAGCAUCGACAUUAUAUACAAUGACUUUUGUGAUCCGAUCACGCUACCGCUCUGAGGGAUUCGCUGCGCUGUGUGUCUUCCUUCUCCGCUUUCAGAUAGCAUUGUCAGUCAUUGAUGCGAGAAUCUUGUUUAGAAUUUCUUUGUGGAACAAGAAAGAAAGGACUUGACUAACGACAUUCAUUCUCGCUUAAGCUCUUCGUUCGGUCUUUGUCUAUCGCGAUCAGUCUCUCUUAACUCAUACUGACAAAAGUCAUUCAAAACGUACUUCCUGACCAAGCAGUUGGGAUUGACUGAGAGAACUACUAGAAAAAAUACUAAUCCCAAGCCCUUCGACAAAGCACACUGCACGAGGAAGAGCUUAAGCGGAAUGAGUUUGACAGUGUCGGACAGGGAUAUCGUUUUCUUUUCUCAAAUAUAUUUCAUAUAUGGUACUCUUGGCUUCGCACUAAACCGAUCGUGAUAAAGCUUCACAUGUUGGCAUUCCACCUGUGCUUCACACUCAAAAAAGUAGGUAUGGAGGGAGGGUGGGAAAGGAACAAGCUUCAAAGAAGCAAACAUUAGAACAUUCAUAGCUUGGUCGUUGUUCGCCUAUCUAUCUCUAGAAUAGCAUGAUAUCGGUCCUAGUCCCACCUAUCCGUAAGAGGACUAGCGCUAUGCCUUCUGUCAAACAGCCCAUUUUCCUCUAUGAUCUGGGUCUCAAAUCAAGAAAGUUGUAGCUCUCCCCCCUAGUGGCAAACCUUAUGAACCUCUUUUCCUUACGGAUUGGGGUCUCAGAUCGAAAAAGUUUUCACUCAUAUAGCGGCGAUAAGGAGUUGAGGGAGUUGAAAACUUCCAGAGCAGCCAACUCAGCUCUUUUUUUUUUUUUUUAUUUAAUUUAGAGUGAUGGCUUGACAGCCCUUGAACCUAGUAGGGGCAUGUUGAAAGACUUUAUUAUAUCCAUCUAGUCCUUGCUUGGCUUUCCUAAAUAGUGUCAGUCAAAAGUCAGUGCUUUGAAUCGAACGUACGCUCGUUGAAUAGAGGAAAACCGCAGGGUUCGAAGAUUGCUCUCGUCCACGCCGGACUGCUCUAAGGCCUAAUCAGGGAUCAAGUCCAUUCUCUCUGUACCGAUAAUAGCGUAAGCUUUUAGCUGGGAAUUAGGGGUUAGCUGGACCGAAAUCACUUAACUAGAGGGGCAUUGUUUUUUUGUUUGCCCCUUGACUCUUUCUAUUGAAAGAGUCGAGAGUCGUUGGGUUCAGUCAGGGGAAAGCUUUCAUAAUCACUCUUAGUCUUAGCGGCAGAACUUCACUCGUUGGUUCAACAAAAAGAGUCGUUUUUAUUCGUAAAUAAGGAGUAGUUCUUCGUGUCGUGGUGGAAGCCAUUCAAUCGUCAUCUGAUAGAGGCUCUGUGAAUCUGUGCCUUUGAACAGGAUAAGGGGAAAGAGAAAAGAGCUUUGCCAAAAGGCUACGUACGCGAGAGGCGCGAGCGAAUGAAUUCGAUUCAAUCCAAAGGGUAGGAAUCUAUAGGUAGAGAAGAUAUUCCGGGAAAAUGAAACUACGUCCAUGGAAGAGAAGAAAAUGAACUUAACCUCAUUAAUUCAUAUUCAAAUUAUUCCAAUCCAGGACUAUAAAUAGAGCUUCUUUCUCUUUCUGGGGUUCUCUUUUAAAAGGCUUGCUCUUCAUUAACCAUUUUUUAUUUCUCCAUCUAGUUAAAAAAUUAGAAAAAAAACUUUUGCUUUAUCAAUUUCAAAUCCCUUAUAGAGCAUUAUAGUCAUAUUACUGCACAAAAGCAUUACAAAGCUUUUCCCAACCAGAUUUGAUAGGCCAUUUUGCAUCUAGCCCUUCAAAUGAAAGUACAAAUAGCUUAACAAUUUAAGUCUUAGCGAAAUGAGUAGUAACCAUGAUAGUAGCAUAUUGCUUCAAGUUCACUUUUGGAUCUCCACUUGCAUUGAACUUUUGCAUUUCAAGCAUAUAAAAUUUAGGAGGUAACUAGUCUUUCCAAUCAAUAUCAAUUCAUCAAAAUCAUAGGUUGAAUUUAAACCUCAAUCUUUUAGCAUAUUUUGCAUCUUGUCAAGCCUUCUAGUCAAAUUAUAGACAAUCACGGGUUUUGCAAUAACUUUUGCACUUAGAAUAGACUCUUUUUUAGCCUAUUUUAGCAUGUAGUCAUUUAAAUUCCAGAGGUGCUCACCACGUGCUACUUUCCUUUUCACAUCAAGUAGUAGCAGUAGUUGUAGGGGCAGUAGUUGUUUUUUGGUAAUUUGUUUCCUAACAAUCUCAACAAAAGCUUGUUGGAGUUCCUCUUGAAUAACAAUCAUUAGGUCAGCCAUGUUUGCAAUUUUGAUAGCAUCAAUGUCUUGCAUGUGGGCCAUCUUUGUUUCAAGCUCUAAAUUGCUACUUGAAAGUAGUGGAUUUCCUGUGCUCUUAUCUAACUUCUCUAGCACUACCUUGAUUGUUGGUAAAAAUGAGCCUCUUGGUACUCUUUUUAGUUUGCCACCUCUUGUCUCUUCCAAACCAAAGGUAAUAAAUCUAUAUGGCUUCAAAAUAAAAGGUUAGUGUGAUGCAUGAUAUGCAUAAGAUGCAUGAUGUAUAGGUUAGAAAUCAAACAAACAAGGCAAGUUUAAAUAGGAAAAAUAUUCCUUCCAACCUUACUACUCCCACACACAUUUCAUGGUGAGUAUCUUUUCCUAGGAUUUUCUGGGCCUUGGUUUUACUACCAACAGAGGGUAGUAAAAACCAACAUGCAUACCAAUGCUCUCAAAGUAGUAAACAAACAAGGUGGUAUUUUCAAGUAUAAAAGUAAAGCCUCCAUGUUUUUAGGCCAAGGUCUUCUAAGAUGUGGGCAAAUUUUUACAAGGAAAAAUACUUCAAGUAGCAAGCAAAUGGAUACCUAAUAGAGAUUUCUACUGUCGUUACUGUGGGCUAAGUCUUGGAUAAGGAUAAAGAUUCCCACGAAAAAUACCCUUCCUUUGCUCACCUCCCCACUCAAUAGUCCAUUGCGGUGAAGGAAAUUUACUUAAUUGUGAGUGAUGGUUAGCUAGUGUUGUAAUUUCAAGAUUCAAGUAGAACUAAAGAACUACUAGCUGACGCCAUUGGAGCUAUAAGGAUUAGGACGCACAAUGUGAAAAUGGUGUAGUGAUGCAAGAAUAAACUAUUAAAUCAUAAAAUUAAAGAAUUAAAUACACUAGAGUAAGUUUCUCUUAGCCCUAGUGGAGUCCCUACUCUAGGCGGCUGAUUCAAGCAUGCACCCAAAACUUUUUGCCGACCACGACACUAUAAGGCUUUUUCAAUAUAAUAAGGGAUACACUAACCAAUCACUAAGACUAGUGUGGAGAAGGGAGUAGCCACCUAGGAAAUCUCUAGGACACUUUUUCUAAAUUUUGUGGCGGACUGGAUUCCCUAGGGAAAUAUCACCACAUCCAAAAAAUGGAUUCGGAAAGCAAAUUUCUUAGUUUUGUAUUUUUAUCUUUAAUUAUAUUAUUUAAUAAUUUAUUCCCUAUAAAUACAUCAUGGCAUAAUAUAUAAAAAAAAAUCAAUAAUAUAUGGCAUAAGUCUCCUAAAUCUAUUCCAAGUUUAUUUGACUUAUCCAAGUUACUAUCUUUUCUAAGUUAGCUUAUUAAUUUAAUGCAAUUGGUAAUAUUUUAAUACUUAGUCUAAUUUAUUUUUAUCAUCUUUUUUAAUUAGCUUAAUAAUUUUUUAGAAUAAUUAUUAUUUUUCCAUGUCCAUAUGUAUUGAUUUUAAAUUAAAUAAAUAAGAUGAAUAAUUAAAAAAAUUAAUUAAUAAAUAAAUAAAAUAUACAUCCUUAAUCUAAUUUACAUAAGUAAAAUAAAUAAUUAAAUUAAAUAAGAGACGUAUAUUCUUAAUCUAAUUUAAAUAAAUAAAUUAAAUAAUAAAAAAUAAAAGAUAUGCAACCUUAAUCUAUUCUAUUCUAAAAAUCAUUCUUAACCUAUUCUAAUAACUGUUUAUUAAAUAAAAUAAUUAAAUAAACCAUAAAAUAAAUUGAACAAAUAAAAUAAAGAGAAAAAAAAAAGAAAGAAAAGAAAAAAUACAAAAAAUCAAAACCAGGAAGAGAAGAGCCGUUGGGCCAACAAUGCACACGACAAUGGCACAAUUCUUUAAUGUCCCAAUUUUAAGUGUGCAACGAUGUGUCACACCAUGGAGCUCAAAUCAAAAAAAAAAUUGCCGAGAGUGCUAGAGUAGUGCGCAAUUCUCUGGAACACUCCAGAAUAGUGUACAAUUCUCCAGAAUACUCUAGAACACUCUAGAAUAGUCUAAAAUUUUCUAGAACAAUCUAGAAGGGUGUAGAUACUUCUAGAAUAUUUUAGAAUGGUGGAAACAUUACUUGUAUAUACUAGACUACUCUAGAAUAUUAUAGACACAUGUAGACUACUCUAGAAUAUUCUAGACAUGUGUGGACAAAGGUAGCAUUCUAGGAUAUUCUUUUAAGGAGGUAGGAAUGGUGGCCAUCCAUGCCUAUAAAUACCCCCCUCCAUUCUUCAUUUGUAAUAAUACAGCAUAUAAGGAGUUAAGGUUAAGAAUUAAGCAAUACAAGCUUACCUUUCCAAACUCUUGUGCUCUCUUUGUGCCAUUUUCUUAGGCAUACUUCCGUUUGCAUAAUUGCUGCCAUUUUGCCGAGUUUGGCAUUCGUGGGAAGGCUAACUAGCAAUCUUGAUUUUGGGUGAAUCAAGUGAGCUAGGCCGCACGUGGGCAAAGUCUAGGGAUAAAUCAAAACUCACGUGACAAAUGGUAUUAGAGCCAAGUUGGUAUAAGAGCCUAGUUGGCAUCAGAGCAUGGUUGAGUUCUUUGGGAAAUCUUGUACGAGAUUAUGGGCAAAGUUGGUGAGCAAUCCACUUCUACUACUCCUCUUGCUCUGAAGGAAGGAGGAAAGGAUAACGGAAAGGGCUGUAGGGAUAAGUCUUGCAACGUGAUUGGCAUAAUGGAAGAAAGGCUAGUUAAGGUGGAGACUGCCAUAUCCGAUUGGUAUGAUAAAAUCGAAGACAUGGACCUUCGCAUCGAGAAGCUAGAGUCCAAGGAGGACGAUGGGGAGCUUUGCGGGGAGAUGCAAGGUGCCUUAAAUGUUCUCGCCGACAAUUUAGUGAGGGACAAUGAGGCUCUUAAGAAGUUGCUUGCCCAAUGCAUGGAGAAGGUCGAUAAGCUCGAGGUGGAGCUUAACUUGUGCAAGGCCACGUUGGCGAAUAGUGGGGGAGGGCAAGUAAUAACAGUGCACAAAGUUGAUGCUCCUAAACCAAAGGCCUACGGUGGGGCUAAGAGCGCAAGGGAGAUCGACAACUUCUUGUGGAACUUGGAGAGAUAUUUUGAUGUAGUGGACAUAGUGGACAAUCCCACUAAGGUAAAGUCUGUAUCUCUCUACUUAAGUGAUAUUGCUACUGUAUGGUGGAGACGCAGGUGCGAGGAUGUGAAAAAGGGCCUUUGCAACAUUAGUACUUGGGACAAUUUUGUGCAGGAGCUUAAGAUGCAAUUGUAUCUCGACAAUGCUGAGAAGGAGGCAAGGUCAAAGCUUUGACGACUCCAACAUAGAGAUGGCUAAAUUUAGGAAUAUGUGAAAGAAUUCUCCAAAUUGAUGUUGGAGAUUCCCUACUUAGGGGAGAAAGAAGCAUUCCAUGCCUUCAUCGAUGGUUUGUCUCGGUGGGCUCAAUUAGAGCUAGAAAGGCGAAGUGCGCAAGAUCUUACCACCACGAUGGCAAUCACCGAGUCCUUAAUAAAGUUGAAGAAGAAGGACUCAUUUAAGCCAAAGAUAAAGAAGUAUGAAGAAAGUGACAAAGGUGGAGAAGAUAGAGGAAGAUCUUCUACCAAGGAUGGCAAGGCUUCAUAUAAAGACAAAGGCAAGUGGAAGAAGGAAGACAAUAGUAGUUCUUCUUUGAAAAAGCUUGCUUGCUUUAUUUGCAAUGGACCUUAUCGUGCUUACGAGUUUCCAAAGCGUGGGAAGCUUGGAGCAUUAGUAAUCACCGAAGAGGAGAAGCGAGAAGAAGAACAAAGAAUUGCUUCCCUUCGACUCCUCAAUGCUAUCCAAGCUAAAGUGGAGCAAAAGCCUCAUGGUCGGAUGUACGUGGAGACUAACAUCGGAAGUAAAAGCAUCCAAGCCAUGGUGGAAACUGGGGCCGACACGGUGUACAUGGCGAAGGAGGUGGCUGAUUCUAUAGCGCUACCUUCUGAAAAGGGAAAGGGCUAUAUCAAGGGGGUAAAUGCUAAGAGGCUACCCAUCAUUGGCAUAGCGAGAGGGACCAACAUCCGUAUAGGCCAUUGGCAAGGUAAGGUCGAUAUCACCAUUGCUCCUAUUGAUGAUCAACGAUUCUAUCUUGGCAUGGACUUCCUCGACAUGGUGAAGGCAUUCUUAGUUGCCUACGCCAACACCAUGUGCAUAAUGGAGAAUGGCCAACCUUGUGUGGUGUCGAUAAAGAGGGAGCUAAGCCAAGAGAUGAUGGUAUCAGCCGUAACUUUCCAAAGGGGUGAAAAGGAAGCAGCCAACCUUCCUAGUAACCCUCAAGGUGAAAGAAGGUCCCAACGAUGAUGGUGCCAAACUUCCAAGCCCUAUACAAGGUGUGCUUGACGAGUUCAAAGAUACUAUGCCGCCCGAGUUGUUGAAGAAGCUUCCUCCACGACGAGAAGUGGACCACGAAAUUGAGUUAGAAUCGAGAGCCAAACGACCCGCCUUUGCACCUUAUCAUAUGGCGCCUCCGGAGCUAGAGGAACUAAGGAGGCAACUCAAGGAGCUACUUGAUGCAGGCUACAGAAGGCCAUUAAAGCUCCAUAUGGUGUACCGGUCUUGUUUGAGAAGAAGCAUGAUGGUUCUUUUUGGUUGUGCAUUGAUUAUCGUGCGCUAAACAAGAUCACAGUCAAGAAUAAGUACCCCAUCCCUUACAUUGCUGAAAUCUUUGAUCAACUUGGUGGUGCUAAGUGGUUUACCAAGUUGGAUUUGCGGUUCAGGUACUAUCAAGUGCGCAUUUUCGAGGGACAUGAGCUAAAGACAGCAUGCGUGAUGAGAUAUGGAUCGUACGAGUUCCUUGUCAUGCCCUUUGGCCUCACAAAUGCACUAGCCACAUUUUGUACUCUUAUGAACAAGGUACUUGCUCCUUACCUUGAUCAGUUUGUUGUUGUUUAUCUCGAGGAUAUUGUUGUGUACAAUAACACUUUGGAGGAGCACGUAAAGCAUCUAAGGCUAGUGUUCAAAGCCUUGCGAGACAAUGAGCUCUAUGUCAAAAAGGAGAAAUGCUCCUUUGCCUAAUGAGAGGUGGCAUUCCUUGGGCAUAUCGUUGGCGAUGAAAAGCUAAGGAUGGAUGGUUCAAAGGUGAAGGCCAUCCAAGAUUGGGAGCCGCCAACCAAGGUUACCGAGUUGAGAUCUUUCCUUGGUUUGGUGAACUAUUAUUGGAGGUUCAUUAAAGGCUAUUCAUCCAUUGCCACUCCUUUGAUGAAUCUUUUAAAGAAGGGUCAUCCAUGGGAUUGUUCUACGAAGUGCCAAUAAGCCUUUGAAGGACUAAAGAAGACCAUCAUGGAGGAGCCGGUCUUAGCACUUCACAACCAUACAAAGGCAUUAGAGAUCCAUACUGAUUCUUCCGACUUUGCUAUUGGUGGAGUACUUAUGCAAGAGGGGCAUCCAAUAGCCUUCGAGAGUAGGAAGCUCAACAACACCGAGAAGAAGUAUACGGUAUAAGAAAAAGAGAUGACCACCGUAGUGCAUUGCUUGCGAACAUGGAGGCACUACUUGCUUGGCAGUAAGUUUGUUGUCAAGAUCGACAACAUUGCCACUAGCCACUUUCAAAGACAAAAGAAACUCUCUCCAAAGCAAGCUAGAUGGUAAGACUUCCUUACGGAAUUCGACUACGUCAUGGAGUACAAGCUAGAUAAAUCAAACCUUGUUACCGAUGCACUAAGCAGCAAGGGGGAGCUUGCCGAUAUAAGCUGCCCUACAUGCAACUUGGUGGAGCGCAUCAAGGAAGGGCUAAAGCAUGAUUCUAAGGCCAAGAACUUCCUUGCUCUUGUUCGAGAAGGCAAGACUUGAAGAUUUUGGCUAGAAGGAGACUUGCUUUACACCAAAAGGAGGAGGCUAUAUGUGCCGCUUCAUGACCAUCUUAGGAAGGAAAUCAUUAAAGAGUGCCACGAUAGCAAGUGGGCGGGUCAUCCAGGCAUACAACACACAAUAGCGUUUAUGGAGAAUGCCUACUAUUGGCCUCGUAUAAGGGAAGAUGUGGAGGCCUACAUAAGGACUUGUCUUGUGUGCCAACAAGACAAGAUGGAGCAACAAGCCCUAAGUGGUUUGCUAGAGCCACUUUCUAUUCCCGAGAGACCAUAGGAAAGUGUUUCCAUGGAUUUUAUUACGGGGCUUCCUUUGUUCGAGGGUUGGAUCUUUGUAGGGGUGGAUCGAUUCUCGAAGUAUGGCAUCUUCAUUCCUGCUCUGAAGGCCGUCAUCGCCGAUGAAGCUGCCCGUCUUUUUAUGAAGCAUGUGGUGAAGUAUUGGGGUGUGCCAAGAUCGAUAGUGAGGGAUCGAGAUGCUAGCUUCACGGUCAUUUUUGGACAGAGUUGUUCAAGCUACUAGGCACCGACCUCAGGUUCUCUACAAGCUUGCACCCCCAAACCGAUAGGCAAACCGAGAGGAUCAAUGCACUCUUGGAGCUAUAUUUGAGGCACUACGUGAGUGCCAACCAACGAGAUUGGGCUAAGUUGCUUGAUGUUGCCCAAUUCUCCUAUAACUUGCAGAGAAGUGAAUCUAGGGGAAAGAGUCCAUUCGAGAUAGUCAUGGGCCAACAACCUUAUACACCGAGCACUCUUACCAUGGAUUGGUCAAGCUGAAGUCCACCCACCUUCAAGCUUGUGAAGGAAUGGAAGGAGCAAUCCGAUGUUGCUUAAGCCUACUUGGAGAAAGCAUCCAAGAGGAUGAAAAAGUGGGUGGAUAAAAAGAGAAGACCCAUGGAAUUCAAGGAAGGGGACAAGGUGCUUGUCAAGCUAUACUUGCAUGGCAAAGUCGAUAGACUUCAUUGGAGUCUUAAAAGAAGGUACGAUGGACCUUUCCCCAUUAUUAAACGAGUGGGCAAGGUAGCGUACAAGGUGGAACUCCCACAAGGCAUCAAGAUCCAUCUCGUCUUCCAUGUGAGCAUGCUAAAGCCUUAUUGGGAAGAUCGCGAUGACCUGAGCCGAGGUAAGUCUAAAAGAGCUCCUUUGAAUGUGCAGGCUCAAUAUGAUAAAGAGGUGGACUAUAUCAUCUCCUAUCGUAAGGUGCCACAAUCCAACCAACCUCCAAUGACCGAGUUUCUUGUCAAGUGGAAGGGACUUCCCAAAAGUGAGGCAAGUUGGGAGCCUAUUCGUGAUUAGUGGCAAUUCGAAGAGCAAAUCAACUCUUAUGAGGAGAAGGCAACGGGGGCAUUGCCAGAUUAAGUGGGGGAGAAUGUCACACCGUGGAGCUCAAAUCAAAAAAAAAAUUUACCGAGAGUGCUAGAGUAUUACGGAAUUCUCUGGAACACUCCAGAAUAGUGUAGAAUUCUCCAAAAUACUCUAGAACAAUAUAGAAGGGUAUAGAACCUUCUAGAACAAUUUAGAAGGCUAUAGAUACUUCUAGAAUAUUCUAGAAGGGUGGAGAAAUUACUUAUAUAUACUAGACUACUCUAGAAUAUUCUAGACACAUGUAGGCUACUCUAGAAUAUUCUAGACGUGUGGAAAAAAGAUAGCAUUAUAGGACAUUCUUUUAAGGAGGUGGGAAUGGUGGCCAUCCAUGCCUAUAAAUACCCCCAUCCAUUCUUCAUUUUGUAACAAUACAAUAUAUAAGGAGUUAAGGUUAAGAACUAAGCAAUACAAGCUUACCUUUCCAAACUCUUAUGCUCUCUUUGUGCCAUUUUCUUAAGCAUACUUUUGUUUGUGUAAUUGCUGCCACUUUGCCCAUUUUGGCAUUCGUGUGAAGGCUGACUAGCAAUCUUGACUUCGGGUGAAUCAAGUGAGCUAGGCCGCACGUGGGCAGUGUUUGGGGAUAAAUCAAAACUCACUCCCUAAAAUCGUGUAAUUUGGGUAGUAUUUCAGCAUCAAAUAACAAAAUAAAAUUUAGUCAGUAAUAUAAAAUAAAUAAAUAAAUAAACUUAAUAAAAAGUAAGAUAAAUAUAAAAAAAUAAAAACAUUGAUCUAAUAAUAUAACAAUUAAUACACAAUAAGAAAAAUAAGGGUGAAAACUAUUAUAAAAUAAACAACAAUAAAAGAAAAGAAAGGAGAGUAAAAGAAAUCUAUGUAUUAUUCCAUUAAUUGUAAAAAAUAUUUAUAGGUGUAAAGAAUUACAAAAUAAAGUUAUAUUUACUAAGAAAAUCUAUACAUAGAGAUAAUAAUAGAAAUCCAAUAUUAUUUAAAUAUUUUAUUAUUAUCAUAACACUCCAUUUUGGAUGUCUAUUACAAUGAAUAUUCAUCGUUAAAAUCUUAUUAAGAAAAAUUAUAUGAAAAAAAAUCUUGAUAAAAGAAAAAAGAGUAUAUUAUUCAUGUAUAAACUUACGGCAUAACAAUGCCUCAUUAAAAAUCUUGUUAGGAAAAUCUAAUGGGACAAAAUCUAAACUAAAAAAGAACAGAGUACAGUGUAUAAAAUCUCCCCCUCAUAAAAACAUGACUUCCAACAAAAAUCUCUUAGUUGGCGCAUGCCUAUUUUGUUCACCAACUUCUCAAAUAUUAUUGUAGGGAAUGCUUUUGUAAACAAAUUUGUCAAAUUAUCAAUACAUUAAUUUUGAUGAACAUCUAAAACUCCUUAUUUCUGAAGCUCAUGUGUGGAAAAGAACUUUGGUAAAAUGUGCUUAUGUUAACACUAAAAUUUUUCAACCGAUGAUGAGACAUUUUAGUUGGUGGAAUGCUUUUGAAUAAAUAACAUGUGUUAAACUCAUAGAAAUAGCCCCGAUGAUCGACCUUAAAGCCCCUAAAUCUAAAAAAAAGCCCACAUUUUAGCAAAGUUGACAAAUUGACCUCGCCCACGUUCAGGCUGAGCUCGUGCACGUUCAAGUUGAACUUGUUCACGCUCAGCCUAAGCCAGUGCAAAUUCAAACUAGGGUAGAGCCUCUCCAGCUUUAUGACAUGACAUUUUAAGAUAAAAAUUCAUUAAAUGAUGUGGCACCAUCGUAGCCCUCCAAUCUUUAUCCCUAAAAAAUACAUCCUAACACUUUAUUUUAAACCGAAAAACCCAUAUAAAUUCAUCUCCAAACCCCCACAUACUCACAUACACACAAAAAUCCUACCCCCAUUUUCUCUCUACACUCAUUUUUCUCCAUACACAAAAACUAUAAGAAAGAACCUAACUCCCUUCAAUCCCAAAUAGAAAUUAGGAAGUGUUUUUAGAGCUUUUACACUCAUUUUGUUUUAUUUUAAAGCAUCUCUUUUGAUUUUACAUUCAAAUCCAUUACUUAAGGGUCAAAUCUAAUUUUAUGGAUCUUCGGUGCAUAUUUUGUGUGUUUUAAUUUUGUACUUCAUCAUAUUCUAUUCCAUUCCUUUUAUUUUUAUUAUUUCGGGUGCAAAACCCAUUUAUUUUCCCCUUUGUAAGUUGAACACGUACGCGUUCAACUUUAUACUCCCGCGAUUUCACCCUAACCCUUCGAAUUUAAAUCAUUAGUAUAAAACGUAGUCAUUUUAGCACUUUUAGGCUUUUUGAAGCUUGAACUCAUGCUGGUUUAGCCUAUACCCAUACGGGUUCGAUCUUAAUUGCCAUGUGCAUUAUCAUUUUCAAUUUUUUCCCGUUGUUUUCGUGAUUUUUGACUUCUAAAAGUCUAAACACGCACAAGUUUAACCUAUACCCGCCGUGGGUUCAGCCUUAAUAGUCCUUAUUUUAUCAUUUUUGCUAAUUGGGCUAUCAUUUUACUGUUUUAGGAUUUCUAGAGGCUCACCUCAUGCUAGGUCAAACUGACCUUGUGCUAGCUCAGUUUCACUGAGCGGUUGUUUAAUCUGCCAGACCUUGUUUUAACUAAUUUCUACUAAACUUUAAUCAAUUACUUACUUAUUCUAUUUUACUUUCUGCCAUUUAAUUUUCCUAUAAUUACAUCCUCUAUUUAUUAUUUAUUGCCCUUUAUAUUCAUCUAUUUUGAGGUCCUAAGCUUGUAAUAGUUUUUCCCUAAGCAUCCCGAUCUCUUUAGUCCCUUCUUUAUAUGCUUAUCUUAUUGCUUUCUAGGUUCCUCAUCUCACGUGUUUAAAGAAUUAAAAUCAAUAUAGCAUUUAUGUGAUCACCUCAUAUGUCAACUCUAAAAUAAAUCGAGCUUACCAAUGUAAGCUCCCUGCACUAUAUUAUGUGUUCACCUCAAAUGCUAAGAUAAAAUAAAUCUGACACUUAGACUUAGGUAAUAAAAUUCGUUUCUAGUUUGGUCACCUUUCAAUAAUAUAUCCAUCAAUGUUGAUAUUUGUUGAGACGGGUCUAUAAGUCAUGUUAUACUGUUGAAUAACAAGCCCUAAAUUAUCUAUUUCGACUUAUUUUCUUUUAUAGAGAAUUUAUGUGCUUGGGAGUCCUUGAUGAUUAAAUAAACCAAGAUUUUACCAUGACUGCAAUUUUCGAGAGACGCAAAAGCGAAAGCCUAUGUGGUCGUUUCUCUAACUGGAUAACCAGCACUAAAAACUGUCUUUACAUUAUAUGGUUUGGUGUUUUCAUGAUCCCAACUUUUUGACCUCAGCUUUUGUAUUUAUUAUCACUUUCAUUGUUGCCCCUCUGACAAAGGACAUUAUUUCAAUGAUACUAUAGGUACAUGCGAAGAAAUGGUUAAAAGGGCUAUAUUUUCCAGAUACUGGAGGUAUAUUUGCCAUCAUAAUGCAUGACUACUUAACAGGGGGAUUCACUACAAAUACUACCUUGGUUCAUUAUUGCUGAGGUAAUGGUUUACUUCUUCACAUUCACCACACAAUGCAUUCAGUUAUUGAUAGAUAUAAGAAUCAUGGUAUUCAUUUCGUGUACUAGCUAAGGUGUUACGUAUGUCUGGUGGAGAUCAUAUUCACGCUGGUACCACAGUAGGUAAACUUGAAGGGGAAAUAGACAUCACUCUAGGCUUUGUGGAUUUAUUGCGUGAUGAUUUUAUUGAAAAAGAUCAAAGCUGCGGUAUUUAUUUCACUCAAGAUAGGGUCUCUCUACUUGGUGUUCUUCAUAUAGCUUUAAGGGGUAUUCACAUUUGGCAUAUGCCUACUCUGACUGAGAUCUUUGUAAAGCUAUAUAUAUAUGGUAAUAGGACUAAUGAUCUUAUCUUUGAAAGGGUAUGAAGUACCAUUUUCUUUUAAAUUUUUUUUAAAAAACCAGAGUUNNNNNNNNNNNNNNNNNNNNNNNNNNNNNNNNNNNNNNNNNNNNNNNNNNNNNNNNNNNNNNNNNNNNNNNNNNNNNNNNNNNNNNNNNNNNNNNNNNNNNNNNNNNNNNNNNNNNNNNNNNNNNNNNNNUUUUGAAUCAUAUUGAAUUCUGCUUCUAGAUUUUGAGUUAUUGCUGACAGUGAUGGUGAAGAUGGGGCAGAGAUGGAUUUCAUGUCAUCUUCUUUCUUUGGUUAGCUUUCGUUAUAAACAGGUCUUGGGAUAUUGCUUUGGUAAUCAACAUUUUGUAAUGUGGUGUUUGGGCUUGGCAAAUAUGAUGUUGAAUGGGCUUGGCAAAUCUAAUGAUUUCAAAAGAGUUUCAAAUUAAUAAAAAGCUUUUACAUGAAGAUUUCUACUCAAAGAAAAACCAUUCUAAAAAACUCUGAUUUUUUAAAAAAAAAUUAAAAGAAAAAGAUAGUAUCCAAGAAAGAUACUAUGAAUUUUGUUUACAAAAUAAAGUCCAAAUCUCAUUUUUUUGAUUGGUUUGAAAUUUAUUGCAAAGAAAAUGGUAUUUCAUACCCUUUCAAAGAUAAGGUUAUUAGUCCUAUUACCAUUAGGAAUAAAGCCCCAGAAUGGAAGGUCGGAGAAAACCAAACCAUCCAGUCUGAACAUCCUUAUCUUAGGAAGAUAACUAUUCCUUAUGGAGAAAAGGAAAUUCAAGCCACACCUUACAAGCUAGUAGGCGAGGAUUUUGAAAAGAAUAUCAAAAAUAUUGUUGAACAGAAUAAUUUUUCAAAUACAUGUCUUAACACGAUAGGAAAACAACUGGUUAGGAUAGAAAGCCAAAUUCAAAGACCUACUACAGUCUUGACCUUUGUAGUCUCUAAUACUAGUCAUCCAGAGGAAAAGAGUCAAACAGAGAAACUUAAAAAUCAUGUCUUCAAACCCUAUCAUAUUUCAAAGCCUAGUCAAGACCAAUUUCAAAAGCAAACUGAGUUUGCUAGAGCAGUCAGAGAACAGCUUAGAAAGUUAGCCACUUCCGAGUCUUUAAAGAACGUAGUACUGGAUACUCCUCAAUCCAGUAGGAAUAUUAGUGCUAUAGAGCAAGCCCAAAGCAGUGAAUCUAAUGAUUCAAGACUAGAGAGUGUUAUUAAAGAACCCUCCCAAAUCAAUAGAUUGGGAUGGCAAGCCCCUAGAUUGACUUGGCAUACUCCUAGGACUACUGCCCUUGACUUAAGCAUAGAAAACAUGAAUAAUGUCCUUACCCAGUCUAGAUUCAAUGCCUCUUUCGUCUAUAAAUGGAAUAUAGAUAGAAUGUCUGAGUAUAGCAUUCUUGAUCUCUUACAACAGAUGACAAAUGGCAGCAAAUGCCUAUAAAACCCAAAGCGGUACCUCUGGUAGAGCCAUAGUUGAACUCCUUAUAGCCGGUUUUUCAGGCCAGCUUAAAGGAUGGUGGGAUUAUCAUCUCACUCAAACACAACAACUACAAAUCCUAGGUACUAUCCAAACCACAAUAGAAGGAACCCUUAUCCUAAAUGAAUUAGGAAAUCCAAUUGAGGAUGCUGUGUCAAUCCUAAUCCUUACGAUUUCCAUCCACUUCAUAGGAGAUCUAUCUUACCUCAAAGAUAAGAAUACUGAACUUCUCAGCAAUCUGACCUGUAAAAAAACUUAGCAAUUUCCAAGCCUACAAAAACACUUUUCUGACCAGAGUAAUGCUUAGGGAAGACUCAAACCAGCCAUUCUGGAAAGAGAAAUUCUUAGCUAGUUUAUCUAAAAUACUAGGUGAGAGAAUUAGAAACGUUAUCAGAGAAGCCCAUAGUGGCCAAAUCCCUUAUGAUCUCUAUAUUUACAGUGAAUUAGUUAGCCUUACUCAGAAGGAAGGAGUAAAAAUUUGCCAUGAUCUUAAGCUUUAAAGACAACUCAAAUGGGAAAUAAAGAAAACUAAGCAAGACUAAGGUAGUUUUUGUAACCAAUUUGAGUAUAAUCAAAUAGAGCCUUCCCCUGCCUGCAAAGGAAAAUGUAAGGAAGAUUUUUCAAAAUCUUAUAAGAAAAAAUGUUUUCACAAAAGCAAGAAGGUGCCAAGAACAAAGAAAGUUUUUACAAAAGGCCAUCUUCUUCAAAAUAUUCAAAACAGAAGCCUAAAAAUGAUUUUAGCAAAAUUACUUGUUACAAGUGUGGCAAGAAAGGCCAUACUUCAAAGUAUUGUAAGUUUUCUAAAAAACUUCAGGAGCUUUAAAGUAUUGUAAGUUUUCUUUGGUUGGCUUUCAUUGUAAACAGGUCCUAGGACAUUGCUUUGGUGAUCAACAUUUUGUAAUGUGGUGUUUAGGCUUGACAAAUCUGAUAUUGAAAAUCUUGGCAAGCUUCGUGUUGAAACAAUUUCUUUGUAAAAGGCAUAGAUGAAAGAGGGUAUGUUUGAAAUCCUCCCUAUAUCUAUGGUUGAAGUGGAAGAAGUUUCAUCAGAUAAUCUAGAGGAAGUUGAUAUUCUAUUGAAUGUGAGCUUUACUUUCCUAUCUGGAAACUAGGUUAUGUUUUAGAAGGGUGAAGGAUUUUUUUAUAUGGGUUUUUUGGCCCGUUACACAAAGUUACCGUGGGCCGCCAUUCCUAGUUUUCAGCCCAAGGGCUUUACAAGGCUUUUUAACAUUUUAUUUUAUGGGCUUGAAUAUCCCAAAACAAUCAUCUUCAUUCGAGUCACCAUCUAAGUCAAUGGCUGUAGAGUUGGUGCUUAAAGAGGAUGAUGAGGCUCUAAACUUUCCUUUAAAGGAGGUAGUUUCUGACAACUGUUUGAUUAGUUAUAGGAAAUCUUCUUCAGUUUGAGCCGCCGCCAGUUCUAGAAGUAUAAAAGACUUAGAAGGUAGUUUGUUCUUUAGGUGCUGGCAAGAAGCUGUUCUUCGUAAGGAAAUUUUGGAUCAUCUUUGUAGAUAGUUUUUCUUGAUGGUUGGAUUUGUCCCCCACCACUUUACUUUGAAUCUGCAGAUAAGAACGAUUUCUCCAUCUACUGCUUGAUUGAAAUGGAAAUACCACACACAUACCCAAGGGAGGAAGAAGUUUGCACAAAAUAGAAGCAAGAGGGGGAAUUGUCUUUCUAUUUUGUUCGGUUUGUAAUGAGCUUUAAAGAGGUUAAAGAAAGGGUCUCCACAGCAGACGGAGCCAAACACAAACCCCAGAAACAUAAUCCAGUUUCCAUAUGGAAAAGUAAAGCUCACAUUCACCAGAAUAUCAACUUCCUUUAUCAUCUAUGCCCUUUACAAAGAACCUGUUCCAACACAAAGCUUACCCACACCCUGCACGAUGUAACAAGCAUGCCAGAAGCUAUUCCUAUAAUAGGAUCACCUUUGGUAGAGUUAUUAUGUGGAAGUGCUAGUGUAAAACAAUCCACUUUGACUCAUUUUUAUAGUUUGCACACUUUCAUAUUACCUCUUCUUACUGUCGUAUUUAUGUUAAUGCACUUUCUAAUGAUACGUAAGCAGGGUAUUUCAGGCCCUUUAUAGUAUAGAAAAUAUAGAUUAUAAAUAUUUGUAAUCAACCAUUGGUCGCUUGGGGGAGGAAGAAAAGUGUUUCAUUGCUACAAAUAUGGAUUAUUGAAAAGAAUAAGACAAGUAUUUGGAUAUUUCCCUUCAACUCCAAUUAUUCUUUUAUACAUGAAUAGUUGAAGUGAAUUCUCCUAAGAGAAAAAUGGAUUAUGGGAGUGUGUACUUAGACUAUUCAUUUGGUCAACAAGUUAGGUUUUACUACAAUUACUUGAAAUGCAUUUGGAUGACAUCCUUUUUCGAUUAGGUAUUGGCGUCAACUAUUCCUCGAGCUCGCCAAUUAGUCAAUCAUAGAAAUAUUUUAGUUAAUGGUCGUAUAGUAGAUAUACUAAGUUAUCACUACAAAUCCCGUGAAAUUAUUACAGCAAGAGAUGAACAGAAGUCCAAAGCUAUGAUUCAAAAUUAUCUUGAGUCAUUUUUCUAGGAGGAAUUGCCAAAACAUUUGACUCUUGACCCAUUUUAAUAUAAAGGAUUGGUCAAUCAAAUAAUAGAUAAUAAAUGGAUCGGCUUGAAAAUAAAUGAAUUGCUAGUGGUAGAAUAUUAUUCUCGUUAGACUUAACUCUAACUAAAAUAACAAAGGUUUGAAAAUUUUUUCCCCCUAUCGCUUAAGUAAAGAAACAAAAAGAAAAUAAGGGUUUGGUUUGAUGUGAUCCCAUUCAUAUAUCAUAGAUAUAUAUGGAUAUUUUUAUUUCUUUCCAAUUUUUCUAGUAUUUUUUGUACCACAGAAAUUAAGAAUUGAGAAUCUAUAUCAAGAGAAUAGGUAAAGCUAUGAGUUACUACGUGGAUAAGAUAAAUCUAUAGAAAAAAGUAAGUAAACAAAUAAAAAUAGAUCUAUAAAUCUAUUUUAAUAUUUUAAUAUAAUUAGUAUAAUAAUAUUUUAUUUUAUAUUUUAAUAUAUUAAUAUAAUAUUAAAUUUAUUAAAUUUUUAUUCAAUAAGAAUAUAAUUCUAAUAUCUAAUAUAUAUAUAUAUAUAUAAUUCUAAUAUAUAAAAUUAGAAUUUAUAUAAUAUUAUAAUAAAUAUUAUAUAAUAAUUAUAAUAAAUAAAUAUUAUAUAUUAUAAUAAAAUAUAUAAUAAUAAUAAUAUAAUAAAAUAUAAAAUAUAUAAAUUAAAAUAUAUAAUAAUAAUAUAUAUAAAGAUUUCUUUUUAAGUUUGAAUUUAUUCAUUUGGAAUCUAGGCUCUUCUACUUCAUUUAUAUUUAUUUAUUUAUAUUAUUUAUAUUAUUAUUAUUUUUCACUCUUUUUUUUUUAUUUUUUUUAUUCCCUUCCAUAAUUCCUUAAGUCCUAUAGGUUUGAUCCUCUAGAAUAUGACCCAUUUUCUCAUUAAAGGGUAAGAUUGAUUUUUUGAUCAAAAGUACUAUGUAAAAUCUUCGGUUUUUUCUCUUUCGCUAUCCCUAUCCCAUAGGUACAGUGUUUGAAAUCAAUAAAAAAAACCUUUUCUUCUAUAUAUGUACGAAUUGAUAUUAUUAUAUUCUGAUUCAUUCCUGGCACCUCCAAAGGAAAAUCCCAAAUUGGAUCCUAAAUUGACAGGUUAGUAUGAGCUUAUCUAUGCGAUUAUGCAUUCUUCGAAUAGGAAUCCAUUUUUCGAAUGAUCUUGGCUUUCGUGCUAUGGUGGGUCUCUGAGAUCCUUUCGAUGACCUAUGUUGGGAUAUCUAUAUGAUCUGAUCGAUUGUGUAAAGCACGCGGUAGCAAUAGAACCAGGGAAAGUAUACAAAAGAGACAGUUCUUUUCUAUUCUAUUAGUAUCCGAUUAGUAUUAGUUAGCGAUCCUAGCUCAAUGAGUCCUUUCUUCUGUGAUGAACUGUUGGCAUCAGUCCUACAUUUUCUCUCUAUGGAUCGAAGAGAAAGGGGCUCAGCGAGAAGAGGAUUGUACCAUGAAAUAAGUAAGGAGAAAGCAUGAUAUUCACUUUAAGCAUGAACUAGAAUAGAAGAGCAAGGCGGGGCUUUUUACGGGACUUCGCCUUAAUCAAACAUAAUUUACUUAGUAAAAUGUAAGAUGUGGGUAAUUCGUGUGUAUAUAUAUAUAUAUAUAUUUAUAUUAUAACCUCUUCUCUAUUACACCCCCUCCCUUCUCUUGUUCUAUUCAUACUAUAUUCGUACCUAUUUUUUUAUUUUUUAUUUUUAAUUGUUAAAUUUUAAAUUGAAUGCAAUUCAUUCUUUUGUUUUCAACAUUAUGUAUUUUUUUCUCAAUUUAUUCAAUUUAUAUUGACAAUAGUGUAUCAAAUAAAUAUAAUCCGAUUUGAGGUAAUUGGAUCUUUUCUGUUGAUCUAUUUAUUCAUGUUUCAUAGAUUUGGUUUUCUCUUUAUUCAAAUGAUGGGUUUUUUUAGAUUUGUUGCAAUACAAACAUUUUGUUUGAUUGGAAAAAAUGUUAAACAUUAUAUAAUAAAUGAAUAUUUUUAAUUUCUUUUAUUCAGAAUUGAUUAAAAUUUUUUUAUUUAAUUUCUUGCUAGUUUAAUGUAUUUAAUUUGUGUUGAUUCUAAUUAAUGUCGAAAGGCAACUCUUACUCUUACUUUUAGGAUUUUAACUGCUAGAUUUCUUAUUAUUUAAAAUAUGAAUCCUACCAUGUAUCGAAAUAAUAAAAUCAAUCAAAAAAAAAUUUAUAAAAAAAAAUUUCAUAUUUCAACUAAAAGAAUUAAUAAACCCUACCGAUUUUUAACAUUUGAAUCAUAAUAUGAAAUGAGUCAAGUCAAUAAAGUAUAGCACAAAUCAAAUUUCUCUAAAAUAAUAAAAUAAAUACUAAACUAAGCACUAAGCAAAAAAUAUUUUAAUAUGCGUAGUAUCUCAUUGAAGAACCAUUAUGUCUAUCUUAUUUUCUAUAAAAAUUCACUUAAUUUAAUCACUUUUAAUAGCUAAUAAAAGAAUUGCUUUCAUUUAAAAAAUAGAUAAUUCUUAAAAUUAUCUUGCGUAUUCUUUUUUUAUAAACAAAAAAUAUGAAAGAAAAAAGUAAAAAAUUGGAAUGGAAUAGAAAAGUGUCCAUGUCUAAUGGAUGGGACAAAAGUCUUCUAAACUUCUGGUAUAGGUUUAAAUCCUAUUGGACGCAUAAUAUAAUAAUCUAUAUAUAGAUUAUAUAUAUUUUAAAAAAUAUAAAUUAUAAAAUAAAAUUAUUAUAAUUAAAAGCUAAAGAUUAAAAGUGAUUAAUUUCUUCAUACUUAUACUGUAGUGAUUAAUUUCUUUAGACUUGUCCUUGAAGUAGAAAACGUUUCUUCUGUUCAUAAACCAUAUAAAAUCUAAGGUACCAAAGUAUCUCCGAUUAGGACUAACAAACGCACCAAUGUGCUUUCCAUCUAGGACUAGUUAAGAUACCCAAGUAGCUCCUCCUUAGGUUAGUCUCUUAAUUUUCCACCACACAUACUAAAGAAGAUAAAAAAAGGUCGAUGCAUAAAGCGAAUAUAGGGUAAAGAUUAAGAUAAGAAAAUAUUAUUAAGAUAGGCAAAGGCUCUUCUGCUCUAGUGGAGGCUAGGCUUCACCACCUAGGCGGAUAGGGGUGCUUUCAUAAACCUUCCCUAUUCAUACCUAACUUUUCAAACUUAGAAUCUUUGAUUUUAGGGAGGAUGAAACUUAGGCUCUCCGCGAGGGGUACAAAGUCGUCAUCCUCAGUCCCGAAUCAUGUCUUGAUCUCAUCAGGUGGCGACUCUUUCUCGAACUAGUCUUAAGGCCUUUCGUAAUCCCUUAGGACCCUCAACUGAACAACUCAUUUUGAAAUGGGCCUACUAUAAAGAAUGAUACCUAGACACAGUGACGAGGUCACUAAGCAUUUAGGGCCGGCCCAAAAUAAGCUAUGCUCAUAGUGGCGACUCCACUGGAGACAUCAAGAAGUUGACUCCGAGGAGUGGAUGAGCUUUUGCCUUUCCAAACACUAUUGACUUAGCCCUGCAUUUCAUUUGCAUUAGAAUUAAGGAAGGCCCUAUAUUCCUGGUGGCUUCAAUGUACGGGAUAUACAUGUUCCACUUGUAUUGAGUAGCGCUAACACAAUUAACCGCUAAAUAGAAAAAUGGAAUAAGUUUAUCCAAAAGUAUAAGAAAGGUACUCCUCGCUAAGGGAAAAUCAGCCUUAUUAUCCCAGCUAAAGCUCAUAUAGUGAAAUAUAGUAUAGGAUUUACCAUAUCAUAUACUUGCAUAAUGGUUGGAAUAUUGAUCCAAAACCUUGAGAUUAGCCUAAAUAGCCACCUGCUUAAUCGAGAAUCUCUAGUUCCGGUAUGACCCUAAAUCAACACCUUUGAUAGGUAAACUCGAGGAGACUUAUCGGAUAAUAAGCGAGUAUAUGCUGCUAGUCCCUCAGUUUUCUCUCAACAUUCUAAAUCUCCCAUUGCACAAACAUGAAAUUCUUUCAAAAUAACUGACCAGCUUCCCGGUAAUCAAUAUGGGGUUACCCGGCUCCUUGUUGAAUAUCAAGGAAUCAAAUUGUUUAUUUUUAAGAAAGUUAUGAUCAUGUGCCGAAGGAGAAAGAGCGGGUAUUGCUAUCCCCAAUUGGUAGUUAUGCCGAAACUAAAAAAUCCUAGAAGGAUAAUACCAUGCCAUGAACUUCGAAGUGAGGGAGUUUUGCAUGUAAAUAUUUGACAAAUUUUGUCCUAUUGUUAAAUCCUAUCUAAUGCUUCAAAUUUUUGUAUAUCUUAACUAACUCCCUUCUUUGUUUAAUGUCUCCUCUCUUUUCAUACAUGCAUACAUGCACUUACAUUUACAUUCUAGGCACACCUUUCUAAUCCUUUGUUGUAGUUACGUCAUCAUUGUUUGGGUUAGAAGAGAAGGGAGACCCAUAAGAAAACAAACAAAAUGUGGGAAGUAGUUCUGCUAAUUUACAAACACUACAAGCUGAGAUGGUUGCCAUUAAAGAGUAGAUAAAAGACCUAAUGGAAAUGGUCAAGCAACGAUCAGAUCUCCUACCAACAUCGACAAUGCUAACGAUGAUGGACUGCCCGUUACUUUGGAUUUCACUACUACUAUUAUGGAAAAGGACAGAGGAAAUGGUAGUGAUUCUCAUAACACUAGAUGGUGAUGAUGAGAUGCAAGUCCUUCUGGCAUCCUCGCCAAGGCCCACCGGCACGUAUCCUACAUCUUCAAUAGAAAACCCUAAGUUGGAAGAAAUGAGAAGACAGCUCGAUAAAAUGCAAAAACUACUCAAGCUGAAAGGAUUGGAAUCCAUUGAAGACAUUGAUGAGUCCAUGUUGAACACCUCCAAAGGAAAGGUGUAUCCUCCGACCUGCCAAAAUUUGAUAGGUCUGGUGAUCCCCAAGCUUUCUUGAAUGUAUACCAGGUAGACAUGUCUUGUUCCAAUCUGACUAGGCAACAAAUAGUCUAAUACUUCAGUCUCUAUUUAACUAGAGUUACAGCCUGCUGGUAUUGGUAAUUGGAUAAGAAGGUUAGGAAAGAUUAGAAAAAUAUGGCUGAGAGAUUCAUUGGCCAAUAUGGAUACAACAUCAAGGUCGAAGUGAGCACUUGAAACUUAGAAGCUACCCGACAUCUCUCCAAUGAAACUACAUCUGACUAUAUCUUACAAUUCCACACUAAGGUGGCAAAGAUGACCAACCGACCAAUAGAAAAAAAAUCAAGUGUGCUUCGCUAUCAAAGGUUUGUUGUCUUACCUCUAUGAUAAGCUGGCUCCCUAUCGCAUUAAGAAUUUUGAGGAUUUGAGGGAUUAUGCUACUAAUGUUAAGGAGGUUGAACUAAAAAAGAACUCCUAUAGAAGGAGUAGUGCAAACAUUCCUAGCCAAAAAGAAAUGAGUGCCCUAGACAUGAUCUUCAGUUUAACCAGUCAGCCGCAAAAGUUCACCAAGUUCUUGGUACCUUUAUCGCAAGUCAUGGCUAAGCUAUAAGAGCUUUAACCACUAAAGUCACCAUUCACAAGACCAAGGGUGACUCAAAUGGGCACUAAUCCAAAUGCCUUCUGUAAACAUCAUCAGCUGCCUAGCCACGAUCCCGGCCGUUGUUAUGCUCUAAGGAACAAGGUUCAAAUGCUCAUCGAUGAAGGGAAGAUUGCUAAUCCUAAGUACAGAUCACCUUGUUUUUGCUCCGCCUUUUGACUUUGAAGGAUAAUACUUUCAACAUCAUACAUUGGGCAUUUGGUCUUAUUUAUAUGUAUAGAUGUUUUCCCUACUGUUAAUUAAACAUUUUCAUGAUUAUCUUAUUUGCAUAUUAUGAUUUUGUGCCAUAUCAUCCAUUUGAUUCAAGUGUAAGCCUGCUUGUACUCUCAAGGAAAGAGUGAGAAUAAAGAAAGAUAAGAAUUAAAGAGAUAAAAUUGUUUUGCUUGAAUCCUUAAGAGACAUAACCUAGUCUAAGCCUCAACCCAUGCCUUCACUAAGCUAAUUGAGCCAAAAAUGAGAAAAUACAUAAGACAAAAGACUCGGGCCAACCAAUAUGGUUCUGAUUCUAAAAAAUAGAAAGAAAAUAGAAAAAAGGAAAAAAAUAUGAUGUAAAUACAAUAGAAAGUUCUGCCAAUCAAUCCAAGACCUUCCCAAAAAGGUUGCAAUAAGGUCAGUAAGCUAUGAAAGGGGUAUGGACUCACUCAGUCAGGCAAGGUAACACGUAAAUAAAUUGAUUGAAACAAAAAUCAAAACAAGCGCCCAAUAGGCUAAAAGAUCCAGCAAAAAGAGACCUAGGCAAAAGUAAGGGCAUUUUAAAUAAAAUAGUCAGCCAGAAAACCCUAAAAGGCUAGUUGACGAUGAGAGUUCGGUCAGGCACAUAGGCCCAACAACAUUUAUGCUUGAAUCAAAUUGUGUGAUGACAUCAAAUAAUAUGCUUAUAAGAUAAUCUUUAAAAUGUUCAAUUAGCAAAAGUGUAAAGUGUCUCGCAAAUAGACAUAGCAAGAAGUGACAACGCGUGUUAAUGACUAAGAAGCCAUCAUCGUUAAAAGCAAUAAGGGGGGCAAGUAACUCCCAUUCCUUGUGCAACCAUACCUCCAAAAAAAGGAGAGAAUAAAAAUAGAAAAUCACAAAAAGAUAUACCUGCUAAGUUGAAAACCCUCAAGGGGCAACUUAUGCAAAAUUUAAGGCUAGCAUGCUAGGUCAAAAACCUAAAAUAGGGCGAUCUAGGCAACAAUCAAGGCGAAAUAGCUCACUGGACCGAAAACUCGAAAAGGGCAAUCUAAGAAAAAAAUAGGGCAAGCAAAAAAAAAGAAAGAAAAAAAAGAAAAAAAUAAGAAUAAAGAAAAUGAAAAAUAAAAAGAACGAGGGUAUGGCGAGCAAGUGAGUCCCUCCAAAAGGCAUCUGCAUCAUCUCUUUCCUAUGAUCUCUUUUGAGGCCUCAUCAAGACGUGAACGACACAAAUACUUACAAAGUAAUAACACAGACUCCAGACUCAUCAAAUUAAAAGUUGAGCAGCUAAGGUAAGAAUCAGGAUUUGACUGCAUCCCAUUAGACAUACAUCAGCAAAUCAUAAUGCUUACUACUAAAGUAUUAGUGUCCAUACCACUAGAAGUAGUGAAAAUUCAACCAAAGUUUCGGGAAGCUACAAUAAGGAUAAACUACAGAAAGUCAAGUAGCAUCAAACAUUGAGGAGCACCAGAUCACACCCACUCUCAGAAAUUCUCACGGCCUCUACAUCACAACGCCCCCUUCAGCCUAACCCAAUGCAAACAUAUCAUGCAUAAAUUAAAAUAGACUCAUGCAUACAUGAAUAAAUAUAUCGAUGCAGGACACUAAAGAUACUGAAAAGCUUGAAUGCUUAACGCACCCCAUUGCUCAAACAUGGGCUUCAACCCGUGCAGAUCAGGACACCACCCAACCAUGCAAUCCAAGUAUGAUUCUCUAAUUUCCAUUCAAUGUGGAAUGCUAACCCCAAGCCUAUUGAGUCCUUUCUUGAGGAAUAAUUGUCUUUUUAGGUACAAGACACGGUUCGACUAUGGCUCGCUGUCCUCUAGAACAUCAAUAACCUUCAUCAAGAAGACAACACUAUUGCUUCGAUGCACCCUCAAAAAGAGGCCGGUAUUGCACCGACGCACCCUUAAGAAAGAUGAUGGUAUCACAUCAACACACCCUUAAGAAGGCAACGGUAUCGCACUAACGCACCCUCAAGAAUAGGACAGUAUCACACUGAUGCAACUUAAGAAAAUAACAGUAUCGCACCGAUGCACCCUCAAAAACACACCGGUAUCACACUGACACACCCUCAAGAAGACGUAUUGUAUCAACACACCCUCAAGAAGACGAUGACAUUGCACCGACACAACUCAAGGAGAUGUCGGUAUCACACUAACACUCCCUCAAGAAGAUGACAGUAUCGCACUAAUGCACCCUAAGAAGACGUUAGUAUCGUACCCAUGCACCCUCAAGAAGAUGCCGGUAUCCUAU
RNAcentral lists this long non-coding RNA (35951 nucleotides) under Ricinus communis (castor bean). Its description in RNAcentral is "long non-coding RNA (RCOM_LNC000459)". The stretch from base 30640 to 30710 matches the Rfam family "tRNA". Lineage: Eukaryota; Viridiplantae; Streptophyta; Magnoliopsida; Malpighiales; Euphorbiaceae. The record is from RNAcentral.